AUAAGAAAUAGGUAAUCUCCAUCAUGAGGUUUAGAGUAAUAUUUUAGUUACCUCUAAUCCUUGGAAUGCAGAUUAUCAUUUCCUUAU
This 87-nucleotide microRNA precursor is filed under the name Medicago truncatula (barrel medic). RNAcentral describes it as "miR2111l stem-loop (mtr-MIR2111l)". Lineage: Eukaryota; Viridiplantae; Streptophyta; Magnoliopsida; Fabales; Fabaceae. The record is from miRBase by way of RNAcentral.